UACAGAGGGUGCAAGCGUUGUUCGGAAUCACUGGGCGUAAAGCGCACGUAGGCGGCUUUUUAAGUCAGGGGUGAAAUCCUGGAGCUCAACUCCAGAACUGCCUUUGAUACUGAGAGGCUCAAGUCCGGGAGAGGUGAGUGGAACUGCGAGUGUAGAGGUGAAAUUCGUAGAUAUUCGCAAGAACACCAGUGGCGAAGGCGGCUCACUGGCCCGGUACUGACGCUGAGGUGCGAAAGCCAGGGGAGCAAACGGG
RNAcentral lists this ribosomal RNA (253 nucleotides) under uncultured bacterium. RNAcentral's name for it is "partial 16S ribosomal RNA". It matches the Rfam family "Bacterial small subunit ribosomal RNA", at positions 524 to 776 of the family's 1533-position model. The record is from RNAcentral.